AUUGAACGCUGGCGGCAUGCCUUACACAUGCAAGUCGAACGGCAGCACGGGAGCAAUCCUGGUGGCGAGUGGCGAACGGGUGAGUAAUAUAUCGGAACGUGCCCAGUCGUGGGGGAUAACGUAGCGAAAGCUACGCUAAUACCGCAUACGAUCUAUGGAUGAAAGCGGGGGAUCGCAAGACCUCGCGCGAUUGGAGCGGCCGAUAUCAGAUUAGGUAGUUGGUGAGGUAAAGGCUCACCAAGCCGACGAUCUGUAGCUGGUCUGAGAGGACGACCAGCCACACUGGGACUGAGACACGGCCCAGACUCCUACGGGAGGCAGCAGUGGGGAAUUUUGGACAAUGGGCGAAAGCCUGAUCCAGCAAUGCCGCGUGAGUGAUGAAGGCCUC
This 388-nucleotide ribosomal RNA is filed under the name uncultured bacterium. Its description in RNAcentral is "bacterial SSU rRNA". It matches the Rfam family "Bacterial small subunit ribosomal RNA", at positions 30 to 418 of the family's 1533-position model. The record is from RNAcentral.